UGAGGGAUAUUGGUCAAUGGGCGCAAGCCUGAACCAGCGACGCCGCGUGGGUGAAGAAGGUCUUCGGAUCGUAAAGCCCUUUUCCCACUGAAGAGGAAGGACGGUAGGUGGGGAGGAAGUCUCGGCUAACUACGUGCCAGCAGCCGCGGUAAAACGUAGGAGACAAGCGUUAUCCGGAGUUACUGGGCGUAAAGGGCGUGCAGGUGGCGUCUUAAGUCUGUUGUGAAAGCGCCUGGCUUAACCGGGCGAGGCCAAUGGAGACUGAGAGGCUGGAGGACGGCGGAGGGGUGUGGAAUUCCGGGUGUAGUGGUGAAAUGCGUAGAGAUCCGGAGGAACACCCGAGUCAAAGGCGGCACUCUAAGCCGUACCUGACACUGAGACGCGACAGCACGGGGA
RNAcentral lists this ribosomal RNA (396 nucleotides) under uncultured bacterium. RNAcentral's name for it is "bacterial SSU rRNA". It matches the Rfam family "Bacterial small subunit ribosomal RNA", at positions 355 to 767 of the family's 1533-position model. The record is from RNAcentral.